Molecule: long non-coding RNA, 408 nt
Filed under: Nicotiana benthamiana
Lineage: Eukaryota; Viridiplantae; Streptophyta; Magnoliopsida; Solanales; Solanaceae
Description: long non-coding RNA (NBEN_LNC031435)
Source: RNAcentral
GAUUGCCAUUUUGUUCGGGACUUGUUGCUUUCUGGUUUUAUCAAGUUGCUUCAUGUGCCUACUUCUCGUCAGCUGGCAGACUUGCUCACCAAGCCUCUGCCAGGCACUUUGCUGCUUCCGCUGCUCACCAAGUUGCAGGUGGUUCCCCCCUCCAACUUGAGGGGGGGUGUUGAGAUACAAGAUAUUGCAUGAUUUAGAUUUGUAUAUACUUGUGUAUAUUCAGUGUAUAUUGAGUGUAUAUCGUAGGUAUAUUGCCGGCAUUGGGUUAUAAGUUGUAACUGGGCUGUGAUGAGAGUGGUCUGAGCCCAAGUCCCUUAUUUAAUUUUGGGCCGGAUCACCCGAUCCGACCCGUCCAUUUGUAAUUAGUAUAAAUGUAGGUGAGAUAUUUUUCUCACCUACCGAGACUCA